UGGUUGGAUGAGAUAAUCCUUACCUGUUCCUUUUUAGGGGGCUGACAGAACAUGAUUGAAGUUCCCAUGAUAUAUGAUUAUGUGUAUGAGUGUAUUGCCUGCAUAUAUGUAAG
This 113-nucleotide small nucleolar RNA is filed under the name Nannospalax galili (Upper Galilee mountains blind mole rat). RNAcentral describes it as "U8 small nucleolar RNA (ENSNGAG00000004351.1)". It matches the Rfam family "U8 small nucleolar RNA". Rfam says of the family: U8 is a member of the C/D class of snoRNA which contain the C (UGAUGA) and D (CUGA) box motifs. U8 is the RNA component of a small complex (the U8 snoRNP) which is required for accumulation of mature large subunit ribosomal RNAs, 5.8S and 28S rRNAs. The record is from Rfam by way of RNAcentral. Lineage: Eukaryota; Metazoa; Chordata; Mammalia; Rodentia; Spalacidae.